Molecule: ribosomal RNA, 253 nt
Filed under: uncultured bacterium
Lineage: Bacteria
Description: partial 16S ribosomal RNA
Rfam family: Bacterial small subunit ribosomal RNA
Source: RNAcentral
UACAGAGGUCCCAAGCGUUGUUCGGAUUCAUUGGGCGUAAAGGGUGCGUAGGCGGCGCGGUAAGUCGGGUGUGAAAUCUCGGAGCUUAACUCCGAAACUGCAUUCGAUACUGCCGUGCUUGAGGACUGGAGAGGAGACUGGAAUUUACGGUGUAGUGGUGAAAUGCGUAGAUAUCGUAAGGAAGACCAGUGGCGAAGGCGGGUCUCUGGACAGUUCCUGACGCUGAGGCACGAAGGCCAGGGGAGCAAACGGG